UACGUAGGGUGCGAGCGUUGUCCGGAAUUAUUGGGCGUAAAGAGCUCGUAGGCGGUGUGUCGCGUCGGUCGUGAAAACUUUCAGCUUAACUGGGAGCUUGCGGUCGAUACGGGCAUCACUGGAGUUCGGCAGGGGAGACUGGAAUUCCUGGUGUAGCGGUGAAAUGCGCAGAUAUCAGGAGGAACACCGGUGGCGAAGGCGGGUCUCUGGGCCGAUACUGACGCUGAGACGCGAAAGCGUGGGGAGCGAACAGG
RNAcentral lists this ribosomal RNA (254 nucleotides) under uncultured bacterium. Its description in RNAcentral is "partial 16S ribosomal RNA". It matches the Rfam family "Bacterial small subunit ribosomal RNA", at positions 524 to 776 of the family's 1533-position model. The record is from RNAcentral.